Molecule: ribosomal RNA, 468 nt
Filed under: uncultured bacterium
Lineage: Bacteria
Description: partial 16S ribosomal RNA
Rfam family: Bacterial small subunit ribosomal RNA
Source: RNAcentral
GACGAACGCUGGCGGCGUGCUUAACACAUGCAAGUCGAACGGAAAGGCCCUGCUUUUGUGGGGUGCUCGAGUGGCGAACGGGUGAGUAACACGUGAGUAACCUGCCCUUGACUUUGGGAUAACUUCAGGAAACUGGGGCUAAUACCGGAUAGGAGCUCCUGCUGCAUGGUGGGGGUUGGAAAGCUUCGGCGGUUGGGGAUGGACUCGCGGCUUAUCAGCUUGUUGGUGGGGUAGUGGCUUACCAAGGCUUUGACGGGUAGCCGGCCUGAGAGGGUGACCGGCCACAUUGGGACUGAGGUACGGCCCAGACUGCUACGGGAGGCAGCAGGGGGGAAUAUUGCACAAUGGGCGGAAGCCUGAUGCGGCAACGCCGCGUGCGGGAUGACGGCCUUCGGGUUGUAAACCGCUUUCGCCUGUGACGAAGCGUGAGUGACGGUAAUGGGUAAAGAAGCACCGGCUAACUACGUG